UACGGGGGGAGCAAGCGUUGUUCGGAUUUACUGGGCGUAAGGGGCGCGUAGGCGGUCAGCACAAGUCAGUUGUGAAAUCUCCGGGCUUAACUCGGAAAGGUCAACUGAUACUGUGCGACUAGAGUGCAGAAGGGGCAACUGGAAUUCUCGGUGUAGCGGUGAAAUGCGUAGAUAUCGAGAGGAACACCUGCGGCGAAGGCGGGUUGCUGGGCUGACACUGACGCUGAGGCGCGAAAGCCAGGGGAGCGAACGGG
This 254-nucleotide ribosomal RNA is filed under the name uncultured bacterium. Its description in RNAcentral is "partial 16S ribosomal RNA". It matches the Rfam family "Bacterial small subunit ribosomal RNA", at positions 524 to 776 of the family's 1533-position model. The record is from RNAcentral.